Molecule: ribosomal RNA, 483 nt
Filed under: uncultured bacterium
Lineage: Bacteria
Description: partial 16S ribosomal RNA
Rfam family: Bacterial small subunit ribosomal RNA
Source: RNAcentral
UUGAACGCUGGCGGCAUGCUUUACACCUGCAAGUCGAACGGCAGCGCGGGCUUCGGCCUGGCGGCGAGUGGCGAACGGGUGAGUAAUGCAUCGGAACGUGCCCAGUCGUGGGGGAUAGCCCGGCGAAAGCCGGAUUAAUACCGCAUACGACCUGAGGGUGAAAGCGGGGGACCGAAAGGCCUCGCGCUAUUGGAGCGGCCGAUGUCGGAUUAGCUAGUUGGUGGGGUAAAGGCUUACCAAGGCGACGAUCCGUAGCUGGUCUGAGAGGACGACCAGCCACACUGGGACUGGGACACGGCCCAGACUCCUACGGGAGGCAGCAGAGGGGAAUUUUGGACAAUGGGGGCAACCCUGAUCCAGCCAUGCCGCGUGCGGGAAGAAGGCCUUCGGGUUGUAAACCGCUUUUGUUCGGGAAGAAAUCCUCUGGGCUAAUACCCCGGGGGGAUGACGGUACCGGAAGAAUAAGCACCGGCUAACUACGUG